CACUAGCCUGGAGCAGUUACCAUGGCAUCAAGCGGUGGGUACUCUAUAAACUCAGCCCAGGAUGAGUAAUCGGAUGAGAACACACCCCUGCUGACAGGCAAUGGGCAGCCAACUGGACCCAAAGCAGCUCCUCAGUGCGAUGGAAUUUGGCUAUCCUCAGUACUUCGGACUUGCUGUUGUCUACGGUCUCCGAGUCAAUCUCAGCGUUGCUAUGGUAGCCAUGGUUAACAACACGUACCCUGAGUGCCUGCGACAGACAGACAGACACACCCACCGAGAGGACAGCGCCCAGCUAGCCUCCAGUGAGUUUUCCCUCCUUUAUUAUAUAUUUAAAUAUAUAUAUAUAUAAAUGAAUAAAUAAAUAAAUACAUGCAUAAAUACCUUUUAUUUUUUUUUACUUUUUUUAAAAACUGAUUUUGUGUGUGUUUGCUUGUUAGUUCAGUGUCCAAAAGCCACGCUUACGCAGUUCCAGUGCCUGCGACAGACAGACAGACACACCGAGAGGACAGCGCCCAGCUAGCCUCCAGUGAGUCAGCCCUCCCUGAACCACACCAUUGGUCAGGAAUGCCCAGCACCCAUCCCACCCAGCAUUGACAACUCCACGCAAACCCCAGAACAGCCAGAUUGGAUCCCUCAGUUUGCGCAGACAAUGGAUCCAGACUGGCCAACGCAGUACCGGUAAAUCAAUUUUAAGAGUAGUUGGGGUGAGAAGGUUGAGAAGUCCAAUGCGUCAUGUCUCUUAAUUACUACACAUCUUCUUUAGAGUGACGGAGGUUGGGGACAACAACUUGGUGCAGCUGGAGACCUUGGAUGGCCACCAAUUGAAGACCCAGACACCCUAUGCCUCAGUGAAGCCUCUGCGGAGAAGAGCACGGAUUUGCCCGCCCCCUGAGGAAGCUGCGUCCCAUCCACCCGAACCGUUGGAGGGGGACUCAUUUCAGGUGGCCUGUACUGGACUCCAGGACACCGAGGAGGCUGUGUUCCAUCCACCCGAGCCAGUGUGUUUGAUUGAACCUGAACCGCUGUGCUC
Clupea harengus (Atlantic herring) is the source of this 1030-nucleotide long non-coding RNA. The record is from Ensembl. NCBI's taxonomy places the organism in Eukaryota, Metazoa, Chordata, Actinopteri, Clupeiformes, Clupeidae.